This 417-nucleotide ribosomal RNA is filed under the name uncultured bacterium. Its description in RNAcentral is "bacterial SSU rRNA". It matches the Rfam family "Bacterial small subunit ribosomal RNA", at positions 945 to 1359 of the family's 1533-position model. The record is from RNAcentral.
UUUAAUUCGAUGAUACGCGAGGAACCUUACCUGGGCUAGAAUGCUGGGAGACCGUGGGUGAAAGCUCAUUUUGUAGCAAUACACUGCCAGUAAGGUGCUGCAUGGCUGUCGUCAGCUCGUGCCGUGAGGUGUUGGGUUAAGUCCCGCAACGAGCGCAACCCCCAUCACUAGUUGCCAUCAGGUAACGCUGGGAACUCUAGUGAAACUGCCGUCGUAAGACGUGAGGAAGGAGGGGAUGAUGUCAAGUCAUCAUGGCCUUUAUGCCCAGGGCUACACACGUGCUACAAUGGGGAGGACAAAGGGCUGCAACACAGCGAUGUGAAGCUAAUCCCAAAAACCUCCUCUCAGUUCAGAUUGGAGUCUGCAACUCGACUCCAUGAAGCUGGAAUCGCUAGUAAUCGUAUAUCAGCAAUGAUA